CCUACGGGCGGCAGCAGUGAGGAAUAUUGGUCAAUGGGCGCAAGCCUGAACCAGCCAAGUCGCGUGAGGGAUGACGGUCCUAUGGAUUGUAAACCUCUUUUGUCGGGGAGCAAGGCCUGCCACGUCCGGCGGGAAGGACAGUACCCGAAGAAAAAGCAUCGGCAAACUCCGUGCCAGCAGCCCGGGUAAUAGGGGGGAUGCGAGGGUUAACCGGAUUUAUUGGGUUAAAGGGGUGCGUAGGCGGAAGGUUAAGUGAGCGGUAAAAUGUCUGUGCUCAACACCGGCCUGCCGUUGAAACUGGUCUUCUUGAGUGAUGGAGAAGUAUGCGGAAUGCGUGGUGUAGCGGUGAAAUGCGUAGAUAUCACGCAGAACUCCGAUUGCGAAGGCAGCAUACCGGCGCUCAACUGACGCUGAGGCACGAAAGCGUGGGGAUCGAACAGGAUUAGAUACCCUGGUAGUC
This 460-nucleotide ribosomal RNA is filed under the name uncultured bacterium. RNAcentral's name for it is "partial 16S ribosomal RNA". It matches the Rfam family "Bacterial small subunit ribosomal RNA", at positions 338 to 795 of the family's 1533-position model. The record is from RNAcentral.